UUCCUGCUACAUCCUACUCCUUUUCCCUUGUCCCAUAGAAGAUUCCAAAUUGCAGUGGUAUAUACUGCUAAUGAACGGGAUCAACUAAUUGCAAUACCUCUUUGUACCACAUUAAUCUGGAUUGCUUCUUCACACUUGCUGUACUGAACAGUCCAAACGGUGAGCAGUUCUGAUCUUUAAUUAAUUCGAUUCUACCAUUUAGGAAAUACUAACCACUUUCUCAUUGUUUAAUCGAUCUAGCUAGAUGGAAUACAUUUCUCAUGUGUUUAUCUUGCUUUGAAUAAUGUGAUCAUCUUUGAUUAAUGGCUGGAGAAUCUCAGCAUCAUUUACCUUUCUGAUUUCUCAUGAGCAGUGGAGCAUGAAUAAUUGAUGAAUUUGGGGGCGAAUUUUAUAAUACUUUACACCACAGUGUUUGUACUAACUACUAAGGUCAUUCUAUAACACUGUUAACAUGUUUGAUUUCAAAGAUACUUGAAGUGUUUUAAUUCAACACCAUGUGAAGCAUAAAUUUUGUGGCGCUAUCAAGGGCAAACAUUAAUUCAUUAUACUCAAAACAGGAAAGCUGGGGGUAUGCAUUUUGUUGUCAAGAAUUUGAGCAAUAAAAUAGUGCCACUAUUCUAUAGGCAGCAGUGCUCACUAAAUGGAAAUAUUAGUUAGUCAGAGCCUUGUAUGUGUUAUCAUGAUUGAAUGCUCGUGGUAAUUACAAAAUUCCUUUGAUUUUGACUGAUGUAAAUAAAAUAUGUACAUUGCAUUACAAUUUUUUGCUCUUCCAUGUGCUUGUGACGUGACAGAGAACGAAGCUAUUAACAUGUCAUCUCGCAAACGCAUUGGGCCUCCCACCCAUUCCAAGAUAUAAGUAACGACCAAGACUUGGGUAAGUAACAGCCACCAGCGCCUACUAAUUGCGACAUAACACUUUAGUGUAAUGAACGCUAUUGUUUCAGACAUGCAAAAUUAGUGCAUGUGACUAUGAACAAGCUAAGGAGUAAAAGGGUCUAAAAAAGGUAAGGAGUUAAAGAAUCAGAGGAAUAGAGAAUAUUAUGCACGUAGUAGAGACAAUAUUCUGGCUAGACGGCGUCAAGCCAACGAAAUCUGACACACGUUCAUACAAAUCUGGAAUAUGCCAUAUCUUCUUAAUCUGCCCGAUGAUUAAAUCUGACACACGUUCAUACAAAUCUGGAAGUCACACCUGCAUUGAUAUUCUAACAGGCCACAUCUGACUUGUAACAUUUUAGUAUUUCUUCACUUUUUUGUAAUCUCAGUUUAGUUUUCAGCUGCAAUGCACCAGCUGUUUGUUUAACAUUUAAGUUUAGCAUCUUUGUAUCCAGCAUGCAAGUCUCAAAUGCAAUGCAUCAGCUGUUUGUUUAACUUUCCAGAUUUGUGCAGAACACCUUACUUUGCCAAGUAAUUUGAUGAAAAUUGUCUGCAUGUUUGGAAAAUGCAGGGAUAGCACCAUCCGCAGGACAUUGUACUAGUACGUACUUAUAUAUGAACAAGUCGAUCUGGGGGCAAAUAAACUUCUUUUCUCCGAGCAAUCAAUAGGAGGUCACUUCUAACACCAUGUUAGGGCAAGUCCAGUUCCCCUAAAAUGUCUCCCCUAUAUCUCAAAAUAGGGGACUCCCCUAAAAAUUUUCUCCCCUAAAAAUUGUUCAACCCCAGCAGUUCCCCAAAAAGAUCUCCCCUAUUCUAUUUGAAACCCAACGGCUACCUCUCCAACGACUAGUUUUUGAACGGCCGCAUUUCUAAUGGCUAGUUUUUUAAUCUAUAUAUAUAUGAUCAGCUCGCUCUCAUAUCUCUCACAAUCUUGCUUCUGUCUCCUCUUCUACUUUGUUUUCACCAUAUCUCUUGCAUCUUUCCACAACAAAAUGAGUCGCCGCCGAAGCUUGGCACGUCAAUUUUGUGAAGAUUCCUCGUCUGAUGAUGAGGAUCUCAUGAUGGUUGCAGUCAUAGCCGAGGAAGAAUAGGCGGGGUUGGAUGCUCCGUGCCAUCGAGGUUCACUUCCAAGACGACAUUCUCUUCAGCGCGAAUUUGCGGAAUGCUUUCAGUGUCUCCACAAAGACUAUUUUGCUGUGAAUUGUACCUUCAACGCAAGGAUGUUUCGCAAUAGGUAUAGAAUGCACCGUCCUCUUUUUCUCACAAUAGCAAGAGUUCUAGAGGAACAUGAUAGCUAUUUUUCCUUGAGAAGAAAUUGUGUCGGUACUCCUGGUUUACAUCCUUAUCAAAAGUUGACCUCCGCAUUCAAAAUCCUAGCUUAUGCGAUAUCAGCUGAUGGUACCGAGGAGUAUUGUCGGCUAGCAAAGUCUACUGCUUUAGAUAACCUUAGAUCAUUUGUGCGUGCUGUGAUUGAGGUCUUUGGUGGUCGCUACCUGAGGAUCUCCAAAUGCUGAAGAUACUGCUAGAUUACUUGCAAUUGGAGAGCAAAGGGGAUUCCCCGGUAUGCUCGGAAGCAUCGGUUGCAUGCAUUGGCAGUGGAAAAAUUGCCCUACUGCACACAAAGGUUUUUUUGUUGGCCAUAAUCGUGUACCCACAAUCAUUCUUGAAGCCGUUACUUCACAAGACCUUUGGAUCUGGCAUUCUUUCUUUGGUUUACCGGGAUCCCAUAAUGAUAUAAAUGUUCUUCACCAUUCACCUGUGAUCUGGCAUUCUUUCUUUGGUUUACCGGGAUCCCAUAAUGAUAUAAAUGUUCUUCACCAUUCACCUGUGUUUGCGAAUCUAGCUGAAGGGCAUGCUCCAGAAGUGAAUUAUACCAUCAAUGGUCACAACUACAACAUGGGGUAUUACCUUGCAGAUGGCAUAUAUCCGUGAUGGGCCACAUUCGUGAAGACAAUUCCAAAUCGAACAACUGAAAAAAAUAAACAUUUUGCACAAUGCCAAGAAGUUUGUCGGAAGGAUGUUGAAUGAGCCUUUGGAGUUCUGCAAGCUCGUUUUGCCAUUGUAUGUGGACCAGCAAAGUAAUGGGAUUUGGAAACACUCGGAGAAAUCAUAACAGCUUGUAUCAUCUUGCAUAACAUGAUAAUAGAAGAUGAGCGUAAAAGUCAUGUAGACUACCGAUUUCAGAACAUGGGAGAAUUGGUGAUACCUUUUCAUGAAGAGGCAGCUACAUUGACUCAGUUUCUUCAAGCUCACAGCGCUAUUCGAAACAAAGAAAUUCAUUGUCAGCGUCAAGUUGAUCUAGUUGAGCACUUGUGGCAGAUUCGCGGAGAAAUGUAGCUUUCAUAAGUGGUAGUAAUAAUGUAGUGUAUGAGAUCUCUAAUAUGUUUUUAAAUCAUGGUGGGGUAUAAGCGGUGCCUGUAUCAUUUUCUACAUAAUGCAAUGUUUUUCUACAUAAUGCACAUUAACAAAAUUGCAACAAUUUCAUCUAUUUUUUUCCCUCUCCUUCUAUUUCUAUCUCUUUCUCCCUCUCCACCUAUUUCUUAUCUCUUUCUCCCUCUCCGUCUCUGCUUCCUCUCCUUCCCAACAGAGCACCUCGCUUGCGCAUCUUCCUCGCCCUCACCCUCUUUGCUUCCUUUCUUCCACACCGAGCAGCCUGUGUGCUGGCCGCCGCCCGCAUCUGUGCUUGCCCCUGCGCCUGCCUCUGGCCGCCGCCCCUCUCGCCCCUCGCGUCUGGCCCUGGCCGGCUCGUGGCGGGAGAAAGAAGGAGGGCGGGGACGUGGUGGCAAGCUCGUUUUGGCGGGAGGGACGACCUCGUGCCGAUAGGGGGAGGGAUCGGGCUACCCGAUACAUCGGGGAGAAGGAGGCCUGGAUCAGGGAAGCCGAAAUUUGGGGGAAGCUUUAGGGGAACUGCUGGAUGUUGAUUUUUGGUUUUUUCCCUUCAAAUUUGGUAAAGGGGAGGUUUUAGGGGAGCUGCUAGACUGCUCUUAUACCCCUGUCGGGACGCCACCCUAGCCUAGACAACGUCCUCUCUUCCCUUGGGCAGUCAUGGGCCAAAGUCGCCGACUGUGAUGCGGAUGACCGACAAGUGUGGACAAGGAAUGCAAGGUAGAAGGGCUCGCAACCCAUGCUAGGUGACCCAUCGGGGUUAGGAGUUACCAUGACGGAGACACAUGUGGCAAGGACGACUGGCAGCACCCGGUGUAGAUGCAGGGUUGUGAAGAAAGGCGAAGAAAGGCUAGCGGUGCCAGUGAAAGAACCAACAGCGUGUGGUGAGGAGGGCAGGAAUUGUGGUGGUGGAAAAUAAUGACGGGAAUAUAUCGCGACACGCCCAUGCUAGGGUGCUAUGUGAUUUGACUAUGCCAGACGGCCGUCUACGAGCAAGAGAUUUCAGAGAUGGAUCCGCUCGUGUAGUGGUUUGAGCUCAUGUUUCUUGUUGUUCAGUCGUUCUCUGAAGAGUGAAUUCCAUUUUUGACACUUAAGUUUCAGGUUUUUGACAGCUUUGAUCCCAUUUAGUAAAAUUUUCAUUUUUUGACCCCAUUUAACAAAAGUUUUACCACAAAUGACCCCAUUUAAUUGUUUUAAACCUCAUUGUUCGAUCUGAAUGCAUAUAUCUGCUGCAAACAAAGAGGAGCUAGCGAGAUCUUAGUAUGUCUUCUGAUAAUCAUGUCUGAGAUAACAAAAUUAACCUGUGCUAAUGCCUGCAGAGGAUUCAACGUCCUUUUUCUAGUGUCUUGUUGCACGACAUGAUUACCAUGGCAUUUAGCGCAUUUAGUGUCAUAGUGUGUAGCAAUAUAUGUCAUUGUUGUAUAUUCAAAUUUUGGGAGCUAGUUAAAUCUAUUUAUGCUAGCACCCUUGCAAUCUGUUGGACUAUUUACCCACGUAAAAAUUUUUGGCAGAAGGGAAUUUAUACGUCCUUACAUGUGUUUAUGGUGUUGUUCUGAUCUUCCUGAUCCUUCGCCUGCAUCUUCACCUGCUUCAGUAUGUCAUUCAGGACUUAAUUAGUGUCGAUGUUAUGGGACACGGUGACCUUUUGCUUAAAUUGAACCCAGCAGUUCUGGUAGAGCGCCAAGGCAGCUGUGAUUUUUUCCACGCCGCCGAAUCCGUAUAUGAACAGCUAGCAUGCAUAGAUCUUGGCUCCCACCAUAAAUGAUUCACUUCUAAAGCUCCUUCACGUCCUUUUCUACUCUCACGGGCUCUUAGAUGCCGAUGAGCCCACGGUCAAAAAUUAAAUGGGGUCAUCCAUGGCAAAACUUUUGCUAAAUGGGGUCAAAAAGCGGAAAUCUCACUAAAUGGGAUCAAAGUUGUCAAAAAACUGAAACUUAGGGAUCAAAAAUGAAAUUCACUCUUUUCAGAAUUAUAUUUAUCUGUAAGUUAAUUUUGAAGUUCCUUUAGGACUCAUUUGGUUGUAUCAUUUUCGGUGGGGAUCAACAAGAAAUGAUGGGAUUGUAGUUCAAUCUCUCUUGAUUCUCUCCAAUGGCUUCGGGGAAUGGUACAACCGAACGAGCACUGGGCAAAAGAUGCUUCUCCCGGCGUAUCGAUUCAGAGGAUCGUUAACUCGGGAGCAACAAGCCUGCAUGCAAGAAUCCCUCCUGCUCCUCCUAGAUCAUGAAGCCUCGUUGCUUUUCACUGAAGUUAUGUCAAAGAAGCCUCCUGCUACAGUAUUGCUCAUCUUUUUGAAGGAAUUCAUCUUGUUUGAGACAAUUUCAAGACAGUGCAUGAGCAUGGUCAUUCUCAAAUGGGCCGUGGUUGAGCACGAAGCCGGCCAGCUGAGAGCAACCAGGAAACUGGGCUGGGCUCGUCGCCCCGUAGCCAACGAUGCUGUGAUCAAUUCCGAUCCACUUGAGCGUUCUGUGGCCGAAGAAAGUGCACAUGGGCACAUUUGGUACGAGUAUUAUUUUUUGGGUCUGUUUUCUGAGUAAAAAACAGUCGCCUGAAAAUACAAAUAAAAACAGUCACCUGCUCGUUUAAUAGAAACCAGACAUCAUGACCAGAAUCAUGCUCUUUGAAUAAACUACAGUAAGGGAAACACACUAGACUAACUGCUGGCCCUUUGGUCAGGUAAUAC
Brachypodium distachyon (stiff brome) is the source of this 5938-nucleotide long non-coding RNA. RefSeq lists it as uncharacterized. Lineage: Eukaryota; Viridiplantae; Streptophyta; Magnoliopsida; Poales; Poaceae. The record is from RefSeq and is a predicted model, not a curated record. The transcript is spliced from 3 exons.